GGGCCCGCACAAGCAGCGGAGCGUGUGGUUUAAUUCGAUGCGACACGAAGAACCUUACCUAGGUUUGACAUGCAAGUAGUAGUGAAGCGAAAGCGGAACGACCCUUCGGGGAGCUUGCACAGGUGCUGCAUGGCUGUCGUCAGCUCGUGUCGUGAGAUGUUGGGUUAAGUCCCGCAACGAGCGCAACCCUUGUCGCUAGUUACACGUGUCUAGCGAUACUGCCGGUCUUAAACCGGAGGAAGGUGGGGAUGACGUCAAGUCAGCAUGGCCUUUAUAUCUAGGGCUACACACACGCUACAAUGGGCAGUACAAUGGGCAGCAAAGGGGCGACCUGGAGCGAAUCUCAUCAAAGCUGUUCGUAGUUCGGAUUGUAGGCUGCAACUCGCCUACAUGAAGCUGGAGUUGCUAGUAAACGCAGGUCAGCUAUACUGCGUUGAAUACGUUCCCGGGCCUU
This 454-nucleotide ribosomal RNA is filed under the name uncultured bacterium. Its description in RNAcentral is "bacterial SSU rRNA". It matches the Rfam family "Bacterial small subunit ribosomal RNA", at positions 917 to 1382 of the family's 1533-position model. The record is from RNAcentral.